Long non-coding RNA from Lolium perenne, 1061 nucleotides. RefSeq lists it as uncharacterized. NCBI's taxonomy places the organism in Eukaryota, Viridiplantae, Streptophyta, Magnoliopsida, Poales, Poaceae. The record is from RefSeq and is a predicted model, not a curated record.
CAAGUUGGCCGCAUCUCUGAAGGCCAGCUAAUAAGCCCAACAAGCUCACACUUAUCACUAGGCCCGACCACCUCUUCUUCCACCAGAUCGCCGGCCACCGGAACUCCUCCUCCUCCGGCACAUUCCCACUCCCGAGCGGUCCGCAGGUCCCCCAUCCACAUCCCUGUCCAGUCUCCGUCGCGCGGCUCGACAGGAUGCCGUUUCUUGGCUUGGCUAGAUGCGGGAGACGCGAGAGGAGAUCCACCGGCGGGAGACGAGGAGCGAUGUCGGACGCGGCUUCAUGCUCCGCGCGCAUCAGGCGGCGGCGCCUGGACGCCGGAGGAGGCGCCGGAGGAUCGGCUCCACUCCGCCCUGGUCUGGCCUGAAAUGGGUUUUGGAAGAUGGACAGGAUAAAAGAUUCUAAUAGGCAAGCUAAAACAGUUGGAUGAUCUUAUAGAAAAAAUUGAGUGCAAGCGGUAUGUCAGGCUGAGCAGCAUUCUGCAGUCCUCUGCUACUUGCAAGGUGAAAAUAACCGACUAACGAGCAAGCGUGUGCCGAGCGUUUGUCAGGAAGCGCAAACACUUGGUGGUGGGACAGGAACGCCAUCGUCGAGUAAGAUUCAGUUUAUAUGGGAGAAAUAACGAUGAUGCAGUCGCCUAUUCAGUUUAUAUGGGAGAAAUAACGAUGAUGCAGUCGCCUUCCUUCUAGGAGUAGGAUGGAAUCAAUAGACCUCCUUUACUACGCACAAAUCCAAGAGCGAGGCUGCAGCAGCAUGUCGCUCCUUGUGAUGAUCUAGCUGCUGACCAAUCUGCAAGUGCUACCAGGUGAAUAUUGUUCAGCCACGGCGGCACCUAGGAAAGCGAACUGCUGUUUCUGAGAAGAUGAGGAGCAUUCAGUAAACAAAGCAUUGGGGGAUCGGAUGUUUUCAGACUGUCGAAUAAAGCCUACGCUCCAACCUUUGAACAUUGUACUUUAUUAUUAAAGCACACAUACUCAUAGAGCACAUCGUAUCAAUUCUUCUUCUUCCUUUGUUUGGCGCUUCUGUGAAAAUUCAUUAGACUAUCAGCAGAUUCUAUGUAGUA